UUGAACAAGUUACCAUGGCAACAAAUCAUGCUUUAAUUUGCAUUUUUUGUAAAAUUUUGUGAUUUUUCUUGUUAUUUAUCCAAUUUUUAAGUAUAUUUUCGAUUGGAAAAGUAUGUGCGCACCCAAGAAACAACUUUAUAUUUGCUGAGAUUUUGUCAAUAGUAAUAAUAAAGCUUCAGUUAAAUUAUUUUGUUGUUUCUUGGCUGCGCACGAUGUUUCCACAACAGAAAUAAAGAUAUAAA
RNAcentral lists this long non-coding RNA (242 nucleotides) under Mytilus galloprovincialis (Mediterranean mussel). Lineage: Eukaryota; Metazoa; Mollusca; Bivalvia; Mytilida; Mytilidae. The record is from RNAcentral.